GAUUUUGCAGCUCAAUUGGUAGAGCGCUUGAUUGUUAAUCAAUAGGUUGGAGGUUCGAUCCCUUCCGGAAUCG
RNAcentral lists this transfer RNA (73 nucleotides) under Flavobacterium reichenbachii. RNAcentral describes it as "tRNA-Asn". It matches the Rfam family "tRNA". Rfam says of the family: Transfer RNA (tRNA) molecules are approximately 80 nucleotides in length. Their secondary structure includes four short double-helical elements and three loops (D, anti-codon, and T loops). Further hydrogen bonds mediate the characteristic L-shaped molecular structure. tRNAs have two regions of fundamental functional importance: the anti-codon, which is responsible for specific mRNA codon recognition, and the 3' end, to which the tRNAs corresponding amino acid is attached (by aminoacyl-tRNA synthetases). tRNAs cope with the degeneracy of the genetic code in two manners: having more than one tRNA (with a specific anti-codon) for a particular amino acid; and 'wobble' base-pairing, i.e. permitting non-standard base-pairing at the 3rd anti-codon position. The record is from RNAcentral. Lineage: Bacteria; Pseudomonadati; Bacteroidota; Flavobacteriia; Flavobacteriales; Flavobacteriaceae.